UGCACCUUCUUAUUCUUUUUCUUCUUGUUCUUCUUCUUUCCUUUCUUAAAGGGUCGACGACCAGAAGAAGACCCUCCCACAACAUUCACCGACUCCUUAUGGAGCUGGUGAUCCUUCUCAAAGUUCUGCAGCAACCCCAACAAGCCGUGGUAGUUCACUGCAGGCUUUGUCAUCCGAAAAUGAGUAAGAAAGGGGAGGAAGGACUUGGGCAAUGAAUUAAGGAUCGCAUCCUUACCGAGCUGCUCAUGCAAGGGAAAGCUCAGUUUACUUAGGCGCUC
This 278-nucleotide long non-coding RNA is filed under the name Elaeis guineensis (African oil palm). RNAcentral's name for it is "long non-coding RNA (EGUI_LNC078320)". Lineage: Eukaryota; Viridiplantae; Streptophyta; Magnoliopsida; Arecales; Arecaceae. The record is from RNAcentral.